RNAcentral lists this transfer RNA (64 nucleotides) under bovine gut metagenome. It matches the Rfam family "tRNA", at positions 6 to 65 of the family's 71-position model. From Rfam's summary of the family: Transfer RNA (tRNA) molecules are approximately 80 nucleotides in length. Their secondary structure includes four short double-helical elements and three loops (D, anti-codon, and T loops). Further hydrogen bonds mediate the characteristic L-shaped molecular structure. tRNAs have two regions of fundamental functional importance: the anti-codon, which is responsible for specific mRNA codon recognition, and the 3' end, to which the tRNAs corresponding amino acid is attached (by aminoacyl-tRNA synthetases). tRNAs cope with the degeneracy of the genetic code in two manners: having more than one tRNA (with a specific anti-codon) for a particular amino acid; and 'wobble' base-pairing, i.e. permitting non-standard base-pairing at the 3rd anti-codon position. The record is from RNAcentral.
CUUUAGCUCAGUUGGCCAGAGCACAUGAUUUGUAAUCUUGGGGUCGUUGGUUCGAAUCCGACAA